AUUGAACGCUGGCGGCAUGCUUUACACAUGCAAGUCGAACGGUAACAGGCCGCAAGGUGCUGACGAGUGGCGAACGGGUGAGUAAUGCAUCGGAACGUGCCCAGUCGUGGGGGAUAACUACUCGAAAGAGUAGCUAAUACCGCAUACGAUCUAUGGAUGAAAGCGGGGACCGGAAGGCCCCCCCCGGUUUGAGCGGCCGAUGUCAGAUUAGGUAGUUGGUGGGGUAAAGGCUCACCAAGCCAACGAUCUGUAGCUGGUCUGAGAGGACGACCAGCCACACUGGGACUGAGACACGGCCCAGACUCCUACGGGAGGCAGCAGUGGGGAAUUUUGGACAAUGGGCGCAAGCCUGAUCCAGCAAUGCCGCGUGCAGGAAGAAGGCCUUCGGGUUGUAAACUGCUUUUGUACGGAACGAAACGGCUCUGGUUAAUACCCGGGGCUAAUGGCGGUACCGUAAGAAUAAGCACCGGCUAACUACGUG
This 481-nucleotide ribosomal RNA is filed under the name uncultured bacterium. RNAcentral's name for it is "partial 16S ribosomal RNA". It matches the Rfam family "Bacterial small subunit ribosomal RNA", at positions 30 to 507 of the family's 1533-position model. The record is from RNAcentral.